AAGUCGUAACAAGGUUUCCGUAGGUGAACCUGCGGAAGGAUCAUUACCGAGAUUUUUUCCUGCUUGCAGGAAAUCUCCCACCCUUUUGUGUAACGAAAUUUUGAUAUACUUUGGUAAAGCGCUUGUUGAGCAUACUUGCUAAGCAACCAGUGACUGACUUUUUUUUAUGUUAGUGGCUGUGUCUUUGCCAAAGGACCCCAAAUAUAACUCUAUUUUAUAUAAUUAUUUUGUCUGAGUUUAUAAUUUUUAAAAUAAACAAAACUUUCAACAACGGAUCUCUUGGUUCUG
RNAcentral lists this unclassified non-coding RNA (288 nucleotides) under fungal sp. RNAcentral describes it as "partial internal transcribed spacer region". The stretch from base 1 to 46 matches the Rfam family "Eukaryotic small subunit ribosomal RNA", at positions 1786 to 1831 of the family's 1831-position model. The record is from RNAcentral. Lineage: Eukaryota; Fungi.